RNAcentral lists this transfer RNA (65 nucleotides) under Proales similis. Its description in RNAcentral is "tRNA-Met". Lineage: Eukaryota; Metazoa; Rotifera; Eurotatoria; Ploima; Proalidae. The record is from RNAcentral.
UGAUGAAGUAAACUAAGUUUAAGUUAAAAGGUUCAUACCCUUUCUAUGGCUAUGCCCUUCAUCAA